UACGAAGGGGGCUAGCGUUGUUCGGAUUUACUGGGCGUAAAGCGCACGUAGGCGGCUCGUUAAGUCGGGGGUGAAAUCCUGGAGCUCAACUCCAGAACUGCCUUCGAUACUGGCGAUCUUGAGUUCGGGAGAGGUGAGUGGAACUGCGAGUGUAGAGGUGAAAUUCGUAGAUAUUCGCAAGAACACCAGUGGCGAAGGCGGCUCACUGGCCCGAUACUGACGCUGAGGCACGAAAGCGUGGGGAGCAAACAGG
This 253-nucleotide ribosomal RNA is filed under the name uncultured bacterium. RNAcentral's name for it is "partial 16S ribosomal RNA". It matches the Rfam family "Bacterial small subunit ribosomal RNA", at positions 524 to 776 of the family's 1533-position model. The record is from RNAcentral.